RNAcentral lists this transfer RNA (72 nucleotides) under Xanthomonas phage vB_XciM_LucasX. It matches the Rfam family "tRNA". From Rfam's summary of the family: Transfer RNA (tRNA) molecules are approximately 80 nucleotides in length. Their secondary structure includes four short double-helical elements and three loops (D, anti-codon, and T loops). The record is from Rfam by way of RNAcentral. Lineage: Duplodnaviria; Heunggongvirae; Uroviricota; Caudoviricetes.
AGGGGAUUGGCCAAGCGGUAAGGCAUCGCCCUUUGACGGCGACAUGCGUUGGUUCGAAUCCAACAUCCCCUA